GCCAGUGUGGCUCAGUGGGUAGAGCAUCAGCCUGCGGACUGAAGAGUCCUAGGUUUGAUUCCGGGCAAGGGCA
This 73-nucleotide transfer RNA is filed under the name Myotis lucifugus (little brown bat). It matches the Rfam family "tRNA". Rfam says of the family: Transfer RNA (tRNA) molecules are approximately 80 nucleotides in length. Their secondary structure includes four short double-helical elements and three loops (D, anti-codon, and T loops). The record is from Rfam by way of RNAcentral. Lineage: Eukaryota; Metazoa; Chordata; Mammalia; Chiroptera; Vespertilionidae.